GCGAUAAGGGGACCUCGAGUGCCAGGUUACAAAUCUGGCUGUCGUGAUGCCUAAAAAGCAUUGCAUAGCAAGGGCCGGGCAAGACCGGUGCCAGCCGCCGCGGUAACACCGGCGGCUCGAGUGGUAACCGUUAUUAUUGGGUCUAAAGGGUCUGUAGCCGGCCGGAUAAGUCUCUUGAGAAAUCCAGCAGCUCAACUGUUGGGCUUUCAGGAGAUACUGUCUGGCUCGAGGCCGGGAGAGGUGAGAGGUACUUCAGGGGUAGGGGUGAAAUCUUGUAAUCCUUGAAGGACCACCAGUGGCGAAGGCGUCUCACCAGAACGGACCUGACGGCAAGGGACGAAAGCUAGGGGCACGAACCGGAUUAGAUACCCGGGUAGUCCUAGCCGUAAACGAUACUCGCUAGGUGUCGGCCACGGUGCGACCGUUGUCGGUGCCGUAGGGAAGCCGUGAAGCGAGC
RNAcentral lists this ribosomal RNA (457 nucleotides) under uncultured archaeon. RNAcentral's name for it is "bacterial SSU rRNA". It matches the Rfam family "Archaeal small subunit ribosomal RNA", at positions 367 to 824 of the family's 1478-position model. The record is from RNAcentral.